UGGCUUAGUUCUUGUGAUUCGAUCCUACAGAUUUAUCUUGCAUCAGAAUGAGCUGUCCAUUAGACCACAGAAUGUAAGAAAAUAUUGUAUCAGUGUGCUUGGCCACAACUGGGUCAUUCAAGAGGGAAUGGGUCAGGUCUGGACGGAAGUAGUAGAGAAAUCCCACAAAAAUUAUCUUCACUGGUUUUUUUUGUGAGAUUCAUUGAUUUAUCACUGACAUUAUAUAUGCAUGUGUUAAUUCUUCUGUCUAUAAUGUUACAUCUUCCAUGAAAUCCAUAGAAACCAUUUAUUUAUCCCUCAAUCCAGUGGAAUUGGCAUCUGGUGAUGCGUGAAAGGUGGAGCAAUGUGGCUCAGGAGGGACGUGGAAAUAUAUUGAAGAAAGAAGGCACUGUGCUCAUGAGGACGAUGAUCUGCUUUGUGUGAUGGCCCAAGAGAAACUUUACUGGAUCUGUUCUUUUCGUGUCCGUUUAGCAGGAGCUGCUGGGAUCGUCUUCGAAUUAGAUGGAAUUCAAAUUUGGGAAUUUAUCAAAUGUUGGUACUGGCAAAGAUUGCAGUUUAGAAGGAAGGGUUUCCUUGAGAUCGUGUCCUUUGCUUGCUAUUGUUGGUAAAUUGUAAGAUCAAAGUGUGUUUUGAUUCUUAUUCUGUGAUGAA
Oryza sativa Japonica Group (Japanese rice) is the source of this 651-nucleotide non-coding RNA. The record is from RefSeq and is a predicted model, not a curated record. NCBI's taxonomy places the organism in Eukaryota, Viridiplantae, Streptophyta, Magnoliopsida, Poales, Poaceae.